RNAcentral lists this ribosomal RNA (500 nucleotides) under uncultured bacterium. RNAcentral describes it as "partial 16S ribosomal RNA". It matches the Rfam family "Bacterial small subunit ribosomal RNA", at positions 30 to 523 of the family's 1533-position model. The record is from RNAcentral.
AUUGAACGCUGGCGGAAUGCUUUACACAUGCAAGUCGAACGGCAGCACGGACUUCGGUCUGGUGGCGAGUGGCGAACGGGUGAGUAACAUAUCGGAACGUAUCCAAUAAUGGGGGAUAACGAGUCGAAAGAUUCGCUAAUACCGCAUACGCCCUACGGGGGAAAGCUGGGGACCUUCGGGCCUGGCGUUAAUGGAGCGGCCGAUAUCUGAUUAGCUAGUUGGUGAGGUAAAGGCUCACCAAGGCGAAGAUCAGUAGCUGGUCUGAGAAGACGACCCGCCACACUGGAACUGAGAAACGGUCCAGACUACUACGGGAGGCAGCAAUGUGGAAUUUUGGACAAUGGGCGCAAGCCUGAUCCAGCCAUUCCGCGUGAGUGAAGAAGGCCUUCGGGUUGUAAAGCUCUUUCGCAAGGGAAGAAAACUUAGCCACUAACAUUGGUUGAGGUUGACGGUACCUUGAUAAGAAGCACCGGCUAACUACGUGCCAGCAGCAGCCGCAG